Molecule: ribosomal RNA, 423 nt
Filed under: uncultured bacterium
Lineage: Bacteria
Description: bacterial SSU rRNA
Rfam family: Bacterial small subunit ribosomal RNA
Source: RNAcentral
AUUGAACGCUGGCGGCAGGCCUAACACAUGCAAGUCGAGCGGCAGCACUUCGGGUGGCGAGCGGCGAACGGGUGAGUAAUGCAUGGGAAUCUGCCUGAUAGUGGGGGAUAACUCUGGGAAACUAGAGGUAAUACCGCAUACGUCCUACGGGAGAAAGCGGGGGAUCUUCGGACCUCGCGCUAUCAGAGGAGCCCAUGUCCGAUUAGCUAGUUGGUGAGGUAAAGGCUCACCAAGGCGACGAUCGGUAACUGGUCUGAGAGGAUGGUCAGUCACACUGGAACUGAGACACGGUCCAGACUCCUACGGGAGGCAGCAGUGGGGAAUAUUGGACAAUGGGGGCAACCCUGAUCCAGCCAUGCCGCGUGUGUGAAGAAGGCCUCGGUUGGUUAAGACGACUUUAAGUACAGGGAGGAAGGGACGUCG